CCUACGGUAGGCAGCAGUGAGGAAUAUUAGUCAAUGGGCGGAAGUCUGAACCAGCCAAGUAGCGUGCAGGAUGACGGCCCUACGGGUUGUAAACUGCUUUUAUACGGGAAUAACGCGCCUUACGUGUAGGGCUUUGCAUGUACCGUAUGAAUAAGGACCGGCUAAUUCCGUGCCAGCAGCCGCGGUAAUACGGCGGGUCCGGGCGUUAGCCGGAUUUAUUGGGUUUAAAGGGAGCGUAGGCCGCAUGUCAAGCGUGCUGUGAAAUUUCCGGGCUCAACCCGGGCCUUGCAGCGCGAACUGGCGUGCUUGAGUCCGCGGAAAGCAGGCGGAAUUCGUCGUGUAGCGGUGAAAUGCUUAGAUAUGACGAAGAACCCCGAUUGCGAAGGCAGCUUGCUGCAGCGGAACUGACGCUGAUGCUCGAAAGCGCGGGUAUCGAACAGGAUUAGAUACCCUUGUAGUC
RNAcentral lists this ribosomal RNA (460 nucleotides) under uncultured bacterium. RNAcentral describes it as "partial 16S ribosomal RNA". It matches the Rfam family "Bacterial small subunit ribosomal RNA", at positions 338 to 795 of the family's 1533-position model. The record is from RNAcentral.